Pelobates cultripes (western spadefoot toad) is the source of this 1060-nucleotide non-coding RNA. Lineage: Eukaryota; Metazoa; Chordata; Amphibia; Anura; Pelobatidae. The record is from the annotation of a GenBank genome assembly.
UAUCACUCAAGCAGUACUACCAUACUGGACCCCAAGAGGUUUAACCCCCUUUGAGCAAUUAUGCACGACCGCACAGCCGAUAAAACGCACCCUAUCACAAAUUUAUAAACUCAUCCAAACUAACGACAAUGCUCAGGAGACCCUAGCAUACCAACGUAAAUGGAUGAAGGAACUUCACAUACAUAUGACACACCAGGACUGGGCAUAUGUCUUCACAAAACCCAUGCACACUUCCAGUAGCCUAUCAAGACAAGAGUCCUUCUAUAAACGUAUCACUAGGUGGUAUAGAACUCUGGAGGUACUCCAUUUAUAUUGGCAAACAAUUAGUGAACAAUGCUGGAGAUGCGGGGGAGAAGUGGGCAGUAUGGGACAUCUGUGGUGGUUUUGUCCACUCUUGAGAACAUACUGGACAGAAGUGAUCUCCAAGAUCGAUGAGAUCUUAAAGAUACCACACUCCCUAACCCCCUCCCAAGUUCUGCUAGGAUGGCCUCACUCCUUUCAAUGUAUGAAGAGUCAGCGCCUACUAUGGCUCCUUCUGGGAGAAGCAAACAACCUUAUACCGGUCCACUGGAAGCAAAAUGUACCACCCACAGCCAAACAAUGGAUAGAAAGGGUAGAGCACAUGAGAGAAAUAGAAAUGCUACAUUGGUCCACAAUAGGCAAAUACACUACAUACCUAACCAUAUGGGAACCCUGGCUAAAACACUGGGCACUAGUACGGAAUAUACCACAAUAGACGGAACAGUAAUAACAAUAGAAGACACCUUGUACCUUCCCCUCCCACCCACUUCCCAUGUAUAUAAUACUUACCCGCUCUCCCCACCAUUCCCUACCCCAAGUUUCUCUGGUGACCCUAGUCACCAACCCUGCACCAAGGUCUCACGUAAUACAAAAUGAUGAGACAAUAUCAGCGGUACUAAUACGCAAAGAACAAUGGGAAUUGAUGUAUAUUUGUCUAUUUCGACACUGCUGUAUAAAAUGUAUGUACCACAACCACCUACCUUACCUUCCCUUCUUGCCUUCUGUAUCCCCGUUACACGUUGUGAAAUAACAAUAAAAC